RNAcentral lists this ribosomal RNA (253 nucleotides) under uncultured bacterium. Its description in RNAcentral is "partial 16S ribosomal RNA". It matches the Rfam family "Bacterial small subunit ribosomal RNA", at positions 524 to 776 of the family's 1533-position model. The record is from RNAcentral.
UACGAAGGGUGCAACCGUUGCUCGGAAUUAUUGGGCGUAAAGCGCACGUAGGCGGCCUUGCAAGUCGGAUGUGAAAUCUUAUGGCUUAACCAUAAAAGUGCAUCCGAAACUGCAGUGCUUGAGUACUUAAGAGGAUCGCGGAAUUCCCGGUGUAGAGGUGAAAUUCGUAGAUAUCGGGAGGAACACCAGUGGCGAAGGCGGCGAUCUGGGAAGAUACUGACGCUGAGGUGCGAAAGCGUGGGGAGCAAACAGG